Molecule: ribosomal RNA, 254 nt
Filed under: uncultured bacterium
Lineage: Bacteria
Description: partial 16S ribosomal RNA
Rfam family: Bacterial small subunit ribosomal RNA
Source: RNAcentral
UACAGAGGGUACAAGCGUUGUUCGGAAUUACUGGGCGUAAAGCGCAUGUAGGCUGUUGUGUAAGUUUGGUGUAAAAGUUUGGGGCUCAGCCCUAAAAAGCCAUCAAAUACUGCAUAACUAGAGAUCGGGAGAGGUAAGUGGAAUUCCUAGUGGUAAAGGUAAAAUUUGUCGAUAUUAGGAGGAACACCAGAGACGAAAGUGAUUUACUGGAACGAAUCUGACGCUGAGAUGCUAAAGCGUGGGUAGCAAACAGG